CUUACCAAGGCUUGACAUAUACGAGAACGGGCCAGAAAUGGUCAACUCUUUGGACACUCGUAAACAGGUGGUGCAUGGUUGUCGUCAGCUCGUGUCGUGAGAUGUUGGGUUAAGUCCCGCAACGAGCGCAACCCUCGUUCUAUGUUGCCAGCACGUAAUGGUGGGAACUCAUGGGAUACUGCCGGGGUCAACUCGGAGGAAGGUGGGGAUGACGUCAAAUCAUCAUGCCCCUUAUGUCUUGGGCUUCACGCAUGCUACAAUGGCCGGUACAAAGGGCUGCAAUACCGUGAGGUGGAGCGAAUCCCAAAAAGCCGGUCCCAGUUCGGAUUGAGGUCUGCAACUCGACCUCAUGAAGUCGGAGUCGCUAGUAAUCGCAGAUCAGCAACGCUGCGGUGAAUACGUU
RNAcentral lists this ribosomal RNA (403 nucleotides) under Microbacterium sp. LIPOA/UEL_76. RNAcentral's name for it is "bacterial SSU rRNA". It matches the Rfam family "Bacterial small subunit ribosomal RNA", at positions 970 to 1372 of the family's 1533-position model. Lineage: Bacteria; Bacillati; Actinomycetota; Actinomycetes; Micrococcales; Microbacteriaceae. The record is from RNAcentral.